GAGUGGCGAACUGGUGAGUAACACGUGGGAAACCUGCCCAGAAGCGGGGGAUAACACCUGGAAACAGAUGCUAAUACCGCAUAACAACUUGGACCGCAUGGUCCGAGUUUGAAAGAUGGCUUCGGCUAUCACUUUUGGAUGGUCCCGCGGCGUAUUAGCUAGAUGGUGGGGUAACGGCUCACCAUGGCAAUGAUACGUAGCCGACCUGAGAGGGUAAUCGGCCACAUUGGGACUGAGACACGGCCCAAACUCCUACGGGAGGCAGCAGUAGGGAAUCUUCCACAAUGGACGAAAGUCUGAUGGAGCAACGCCGCGUGAGUGAAGAAGGGUUUCGGCUCGUAAAACUCUGUUGUUAAAGAAGAACAUAUCUGAGAGUAACUGUUCAGGUAUUGACGGUAUUUAACCAGAAAGCCACGGCUAACUACGUGCCAGCAGCCGCGGUAAUACGUAGGUGGCAAGCGUUGUCCGGAUUUAUUGGGCGUAAAGCGAGCGCAGGCGGUUUUUUAAGUCUGAUGUGAAAGCCUUCGGCUCAACCGAAGAAGUGCAUCGGAAACUGGGAAACUUGAGUGCAGAAGAGGACAGUGGAACUCCAUGUGUAGCGGUGAAAUGCGUAGAUAUAUGGAAGAACACCAGUGGCGAAGGCGGCUGUCUGGUCUGUAACUGACGCUGAGGCUCGAAAGUAUGGGUAGCAAACAGGAUUAGAUACCCUGGUAGUCCAUACCGUAAACGAUGAAUGCUAAGUGUUGGAGGGUUUCCGCCCUUCAGUGCUGCAGCUAACGCAUUAAGCAUUCCGCCUGGGGAGUACGGCCGCAAGGCUGAAACUCAAAGGAAUUGACGGGGGCCCGCACAAGCGGUGGAGCAUGUGGUUUAAUUCGAAGCUACGCGAAGAACCUUACCAGGUCUUGACAUACUAUGCAAAUCUAAGAGAUUAGACGUUCCCUUCGGGGACAUGGAUACAGGUGGUGCAUGGUUGUCGUCAGCCUGUGUCGUGAGAUGUUGGGUUAAGUCCCGCAACGAGCGCAACCCUUAUUAUCAGUUGCCAGCAUUAAGUUGGGCACUCUGGUGAGACUGCCGGUGACAAACCGGAGGAAGGUGGGGAUGACGUCAAAUCAUCAUGCCCCUUAUGACCUGGGCUACACACGUGCUACAAUGGAUGGUACAACGAGUUGCGAACUCGCGAGAGUAAGCUAAUCUCUUAAAGCCAUUCUCAGUUCGGAUUGUAGGCUGCAACUCGCCUACAUGAAGUCGGAAUCGCUAGUAAUCGCGGAUCAGCAUGCCGCGGUGAAUACGUUCCCGGGCCUUGUACACACCGCCCGUCACACCAUGAGAGUUUGUAACACCCAAAGU
This 1347-nucleotide ribosomal RNA is filed under the name Lactiplantibacillus plantarum. RNAcentral describes it as "Lactobacillus plantarum 16S ribosomal RNA". It matches the Rfam family "Bacterial small subunit ribosomal RNA", at positions 93 to 1427 of the family's 1533-position model. The record is from RNAcentral. Lineage: Bacteria; Bacillati; Bacillota; Bacilli; Lactobacillales; Lactobacillaceae.